RNA transcript from Zingiber officinale, 921 nucleotides. RefSeq lists it as uncharacterized. The transcript has 6 exons. Lineage: Eukaryota; Viridiplantae; Streptophyta; Magnoliopsida; Zingiberales; Zingiberaceae. The record is from RefSeq and is a predicted model, not a curated record.
AUGUAUCUACAAUAUUUGACAUUAUUAUCGACUGAACGGGUAGUUUUAGAGGUCGAAAAACCCUCUAUAUUCCUUCGACGCCAUUCCAUUCCUCACGCCCCCCGCCGAUCCUCCACCACCUUAUCUCACGCCGCUGGCCGCCGAUCUUCCACCACGUUUCAGGGUUUUGAUCGAAGAAUUUGGAUUUAUAGAUCUGAAGGUGGAGAUGGAUGUUUUGCAGAAGCGUAUCAAAAUAAUGGAAGCGAGCGGGGACGAAGGAGAUGAAGGACAAGGAAGUGGAAAACAGAUGACGGAGAUGGGAUCACAGGACGUGGAGGAGCACUUCCAACGCAUCUUUGAGAAGGUCGAGCGCUACACUCACCAGGUAUGGGGUAUUGCUUACCUCGAUUGAAUGCAGAUCAAACUACAUCUCUAUCGCGCUGUCCCUCUGUGGAUUGCAUUGGAAGGUCGAGGAGCUGCUGGAAGCAGGGAGGACGCUGUUUAAAAAUCUAUCUCCUGAAUUCGAAGAGCGUUUGAUCUCGAUUCACAAGGAGCAAAUCGAGAAGUGGCAGGACGAGAUCAAGGACCUGCAGUCGCGUCACGCUGCCAAUGAAGCAGCUGCAGCACUUCUUGGCAACGCUCAUCAAUUGCUUCGUAGUUCGCCGCAAUUUUCCAUCCACGCCACAAGCAUACUGAGGGACUCUGAGGCUGCUGUGUGAAGUAUGCAGGGAAAUUUCAUAAAAGGAAAAAAAAAACAAGAAAUUUCGACUGUGGUGUGGAUGAUGCUAUACCAGUUCACGGCCGAGAGAAACUGUAGUUAAGAAUAAUGGGUCAUUAAGAAGUGUCAAAAUGGGGAUGCUCCUUCUUUUUCAUGGUCUUAGUUUGAUUCCCACAUUUAGCUUGCUUGGCCACAACUUGGUCUCCAUCUUGGUGCCCAUCAAA